AGCUCAGUGGUAGAGCACUUGCCUAGCAUGUGGGAGGCCCUGGGUUCAAAUCCCAG
Molecule: transfer RNA, 56 nt
Filed under: Heterocephalus glaber (naked mole-rat)
Lineage: Eukaryota; Metazoa; Chordata; Mammalia; Rodentia; Bathyergidae
Rfam family: tRNA
About the family: Transfer RNA (tRNA) molecules are approximately 80 nucleotides in length. Their secondary structure includes four short double-helical elements and three loops (D, anti-codon, and T loops). Further hydrogen bonds mediate the characteristic L-shaped molecular structure. tRNAs have two regions of fundamental functional importance: the anti-codon, which is responsible for specific mRNA codon recognition, and the 3' end, to which the tRNAs corresponding amino acid is attached (by aminoacyl-tRNA synthetases). tRNAs cope with the degeneracy of the genetic code in two manners: having more than one tRNA (with a specific anti-codon) for a particular amino acid; and 'wobble' base-pairing, i.e. permitting non-standard base-pairing at the 3rd anti-codon position.
Source: Rfam by way of RNAcentral